GAUAAUUUUUCAAUUAUUAAAACUGUAAAUUUUGUUAUUUUGAAAACAAAAAUUAUCA
Molecule: transfer RNA, 58 nt
Filed under: Trichuris sp. LO613
Lineage: Eukaryota; Metazoa; Nematoda; Enoplea; Trichinellida; Trichuridae
Description: tRNA-Tyr
Source: RNAcentral